RNAcentral lists this ribosomal RNA (429 nucleotides) under Chloroflexota bacterium. Its description in RNAcentral is "Chloroflexi bacterium partial 16S ribosomal RNA". It matches the Rfam family "Bacterial small subunit ribosomal RNA", at positions 355 to 776 of the family's 1533-position model. Lineage: Bacteria; Bacillati; Chloroflexota. The record is from RNAcentral.
UGGGGAAUAUUGCACAAUGGGCGCAAGCCUGAUGCAGCCAUGCCGCGUGUGUGAAGAAGGCCUUCGGGUUGUAAAGCACUUUCAGCGGGGAGGAAGGCGGUGAGGUUAAUAACCUCAUCGAUUGACGUUACCCGCAGAAGAAGCACCGGCUAACUCCGUGCCAGCAGCCGCGGUAAUACGGAGGGUGCAAGCGUUAAUCGGAAUUACUGGGCGUAAAGCGCACGCAGGCGGUCUGUCAAGUCGGAUGUGAAAUCCCCGGGCUCAACCUGGGAACUGCAUUCGAAACUGGCAGGCUAGAGUCUUGUAGAGGGGGGUAGAAUUCCAGGUGUAGCGAUGAAAUGCGUAGAGAUCUGGAGGAAUACCGGUGGCGAAGGCGGCCCCCUAGACAAAGACUGACGCUCAGGUGCGAAAGCGUGGGGAGCAAACAGG